RNAcentral lists this long non-coding RNA (2637 nucleotides) under Salmo salar (Atlantic salmon). RNAcentral describes it as "lncRNA (ENSSSAG00000108260.1)". Lineage: Eukaryota; Metazoa; Chordata; Actinopteri; Salmoniformes; Salmonidae. The record is from RNAcentral.
CACACACUUAAGAAAGCUCACUGUCACAGAAACACACAUACACAAAGUUACAGCACCAGAGUACAGGCUACUUAGAGCCCAGACAUUCUUCCCCCCCCCCUCCUUUUUUUUCUCCCACCCUCUUUCUCUUUCCCUUCCUCCCUUUGCCUCUCUCCUCUCAUCUUUCCUACUCCCCGUCUCUUCCGGGCGGUUGUGUUUGACGUUUCAGUGUUAUGAGUGUGGUGAUUGUCAAGUUUGGUUCAGUGAUCUGUGGAAGUGUCCUUUGGGGUCCUCUAACUCUGACAGGCAUUUUCCAGGGACAGCUAAAACUCUUCAUCACAGGGAGGUGAGGCCCAGUCAACCUAAUCACUGCUAAACAGAAUGAGAGACAACCAAAGGAAGGAAAGAAAGAGCCAACCGAAGAGCUGGUCAUGCAGUAACGAACAUCCUGGCCAAAGAGUUGAUGAAGGAGGACACCCCGCCCUCCUUCAGCAAACCGCUCAAUAAGAAGACCAAGGCAGAACAGAAGGAGGAGCCUAGCAUAGAGGGGGCGGGGUCACUAGAUGAUCUCUUAGAGGAAAGCCUAUCACGGUCCAGUUAAAAAAAACGGGUAGAAGUUACCCCUUAGCCACAGAUCUUGGAUCAGCCUACCAUACCCAUAUCCUAACCUUAACCAUGGGGGCAGGGAUACAGAAACUGAUCUUAGAUCAGUGUCUAGCAGCAACUUCCUCCUACUCUCCUUCGUAGGACCACGGGAUUGGACAGACUGGGUCUGAAGGGGCCAAUGGAUGAGUGCGGGGCUCUCACCUUAACCACACUCCCAGGGUUUCGCAGGCUGGCUUGCUAUUAGUCGCUUCCACGCUGAGGGAGGACUCUUGCUCUGCCGUAUAAACGUACAGUAUCAAUGGUCAAGCGUCAGCAUCUGCACACAUCCACUGCACUCUGUCUAUCGCUCAUUCAGUCUCUUUCUCUAUCAAUUUCUCUCACACACACUGUCACUAUCUAUCCAUCUACUUUCCUCUCUCUCUGAAGUACGUCUUGAGACAGUCCCACAGACACUUUAUCAGAAGGGAUCCUAUUUUUUAUCAUUUUUUUCUCCAGAGGGAUAGGAUGGAUUUCCCAAUCUGGAUGGUUGGACUGUCCUACCUAUGUGGAAGCCCUGAUGUUUUAUAGAACAUGUUUAGCUUUUUCCCAGGUUUGGUUUCAAACCUGUUAAAUGUUGCUCUGUAAUUGUCAAAUAUGCUGUAUGUUUAUAAAAGAAACAAGUGCCAACCAAUACAACUUGAAGUUGCACAUGUCAGCCCUCGUGUUGUCCAAUAGGAGUUUGUGUUGGGUUAGGGUGGACCAAGGGAUAGGUCUAAGUGUGUGUGUGCGCACGUGUUCCACAGUCCUCAUCUCAUUUCCCCGGUUCUUUAUGUUCUCUCUGAUUCACAGGGAGGAGUCACUAUGUCGGUGAUAAACAGACUAUAGGGCCUUAUUGGCCAUUCUCAAAGGACGUCUCCACAAGCAGGAAAUUGUGUGUGUGUCCAGAGCUACGUGUGUGUGUGUGUGUGUGUGGUUGUUUGUGCAUUCAUGUUGUGUGCGUGCGUGUGCGAGUUUGUGCUUGGGUAUGCUCUGCCAUCUGUAAUUACUGUAUGGUCCUGCCUCUGCCUGCCUGUCUGCCGUCAUCAUAAAUGCUAUAUUUCCUAAACAGCGCUGUGGUCUUUCUGCUGAAGUUACAGCACACUGGAGACCUGCCCCCCAAAAAAUGCUGAGACGAGUGUGUGUCCCCGAGUGUGUGUCGCCGUGCGUGUGUGUGUGCGCGCUUGCCCCUUUAGACUGCAACACCCGUUGCUGAAUGUCUGGCCUUUCCGGUUUUGUAUUUGUAUUCAACAUCAGCAAAUGUUGCCGCCACAACGUUCGUGUAAUCCAAGGAGAAUGAUAAGCAGUUCUGCCAGUUAACCCAUGCUUUACCAAUCCCUAUGCAAACAUGACAUAUCCCUACUGCUGAUCUCAAGUCAGUCACAAACGGUUAGAGCAUCUGCUUGAACAACUGUGGUUUCCCGUAAGCGCUGAUCAGAGAUCGGUUUGUACAGGUCUCUGGAAUCGAGCCAAGCACAAGCUUGUUGGGCUUUUACCAGCACAACAUAUUGUUAUUAUCAAAGAGCUGAGAGAUCGUUUCAUGAUAAUAAUCAUUGCUUCCUGCAGUAUAUUUCAAAGGUAUAAAAAUGACAAAUGUUACCGCAACGUCUGUGUGACUUAGCAACUUCAGUCAAGGGGCGACGAGGAAACAUUCAGCCCUUAGAUUGUAGUUGUUUGCCAGAAACAGAAGUAUGACGUGUCGACCGUAAGACAACGUUCCUUGUGUGGAUGAGUCAUUUCAGGUGAUCCUGUCCCUAUUAUUUAAGUGGUCUUUUAAAGGACGUUGAGGAAAGGUUGAAAAAACAUCACUGGAAAAUAAUCCAAUUUUCUGGCCUGAUUUUAUAAUUUUCUAGAUUUUUUCAUUUUUUCAUUUUUUUUCUUUUUAUAAGAGCUUGUUUUCUAUGUGAAUUUUUACUCUUGUUUUAAUGGACGUUAAAAGUAGAGGUUCAAGUUGAUUUCCGGAGAUAUCACUGUGGUAAUAUGUAUUAGAUUAUGUAAUUCGUUUGUGCUGUCCGCUACCAUUAAAAUGACUUCAAU